UACGUAGGCAGCAAGCGUUGUUCGGAGUUACUGGGCGUAAAGGGUGUGUAGGCGGUCUUCUAAGUUUGGUGUGAAAUCUCCCGGCUCAACUGGGAGGGUGCGCCGAAAACUGGGAGGCUAGAGUACUGGAUGGGAGAGUGGAAUUCCUGGUGUAGCGGUGAAAUGCGUAGAGAUCCGGAGGAACACCGAAGGCGAAGGCAGUGUCCUGGCGCGUAACUGACGCUGAGGUGCGAAAGCCAGGGGAGCGAACGGG
RNAcentral lists this ribosomal RNA (253 nucleotides) under uncultured bacterium. RNAcentral describes it as "partial 16S ribosomal RNA". It matches the Rfam family "Bacterial small subunit ribosomal RNA", at positions 524 to 776 of the family's 1533-position model. The record is from RNAcentral.